Molecule: ribosomal RNA, 396 nt
Filed under: uncultured bacterium
Lineage: Bacteria
Description: bacterial SSU rRNA
Rfam family: Bacterial small subunit ribosomal RNA
Source: RNAcentral
GACGAACGCUGGCGGCGUGCUUAACACAUGCAAGUCGAGCGGUAAGGCCCUUUCGGGGGUACACGAGCGGCGAACGGGUGAGUAACACGUGGGUGACCUGCCUUUAGCUCUGGGAUAAGCCUGGGAAACCGGGUCUAAUACCGGAUAUGACUCCGCGGCGCAUGUUGUGGGGUGGAAAGCCUUGUGCGGCUGGAGAUGGGCCCGCGGCCUAUCAGCUUGUUGGUGGGGUGAUGGCCUACCAAGGCGACGACGGGUAGCCGGCCUGAGAGGGCGACCGGCCACACUGGGACUGAGAUACGGCCCAGACUCCUACGGGAGGCAGCAGUGGGGAAUCUUGCGCAAUGGGCGAAAGCCUGACGCAGCGACGCCGCGUGAGGGAUGACGGCCUGGUUGUAA